RNAcentral lists this ribosomal RNA (255 nucleotides) under uncultured bacterium. Its description in RNAcentral is "partial 16S ribosomal RNA". It matches the Rfam family "Bacterial small subunit ribosomal RNA", at positions 524 to 776 of the family's 1533-position model. The record is from RNAcentral.
UACGUAGGGUGCGAGCGUUGUCCGGAAUUAUUGGGCGUAAAGAGCUCGUAGGCGGUCUGUCGCGUCGGUCGUGAAAACUUGGGGCUUAACCCUGAGCUUGCGGUCGAUACGGGCAUGACUGGAGUUCGGCAGGGGAGACUGGAAUUCCUGGUGUAGCGGUGAAAUGCGCAGAUAUCAGGAGGAACACCGAUGGCGAAGGCAGGUCUCUGGGCAUUAACUGACGCUGAGGAGCGGAAAGCAUGGGGAGCGAACAGG